GGCGGUGGUUUUAGCGGUGGGGUUACGCCCGGUUUCCAUUUCGAACCCGGUAGCUAAGGUCGCCUGCGCUGAUGGUACUGCGCUCGGGAGGGCGUGGGAGAGUAGGUCGCUGCCGCCA
This is a non-coding RNA of Actinobaculum suis, 118 nucleotides long. The record is from Rfam. Lineage: Bacteria; Bacillati; Actinomycetota; Actinomycetes; Actinomycetales; Actinomycetaceae.